This is a long non-coding RNA of Papaver somniferum (opium poppy), 1865 nucleotides long. RefSeq lists it as uncharacterized. The transcript is spliced from 3 exons. The record is from RefSeq and is a predicted model, not a curated record. Lineage: Eukaryota; Viridiplantae; Streptophyta; Magnoliopsida; Ranunculales; Papaveraceae.
CUUCUACAUUUUUACUCUCUUCUUCGUUUCUUCUUGGGCCAAAACCAAACCAGAGAAAAGCUCCGGAGAAUUUUUUUUCCCCUCUUCUUCGUUUCCUCUCGAACCCUUGAAUAUAUGUUUUCAUUUUCAAUUCUCUAUAUAAUUCAUCCCCUCCUCAAACAAAAACGAAGCAAAACAAAGAAUUAGGGAUUCUGAUUUUUGAUUUUUGAUUUUUCCUUUCUCCAAUUGGGGAUUUUUGGGUCAUCCAUGAAAUCGGUGGAAUCAGAUGAAGAAGAUUACUCCAACAAACUUGCGUGAAACCUCUCAAAGGCGUAAUUAGAAAGCGAAACAGAAGAAUGGAACUUGGAACUGUGAGAGUUUAUGAUGCAAGGAUUAUGUAAGUGACAAUUAUACAUUUUAGGAAGGCCCAAUUUCUUUCAGAAGAUUCCAGUUUGAUUAUUGGUAAGUCCACAAGCAACUGAAUCCAUUACAUUGCCUUACCAUCAAUACAUUUUUUUACCGUUUCAAUCCUUUUUGCACUUUUAGGCCAUUACUUAAGUUCGUAUUAGUCGGAUACCAUGUGGGUAUAUGCUGCUUAUGAAAAACAAAUGGGAAUUAGCGUUGCACUGGAGACGCCCACAAGUGUGUUAUUUUUUCUACACUUAAUGUUCGCUGCUUAAGAAGAAUGUGUGAUUAAGUUUAUAGAUACUAACUCACUGUAAGAAAUGCAGCAAUAGGACUGGUUUUUUUCCCUUUAAUGUUAGGGAAAUGUCACUGACACUUUGAAUCGCUUUGCUUCUUUCCUUGAGAAUCACCUUUACCAGGGUAGGGGAUACAGCAGAACCCACUGCUAAAUUACAUAGACCAGGUGAGUGGGGAUACCGUCAAGGUGCUCAAGGAAAGCGUAUGCUGGAAUAGUUCCGAUGGGGAUGGAAUAUGUGUUAACAUUCUAAGGGACCUAUAGGUUAAUUAGUUUAUUGUAGAAUGAAAUAUCCGAAUGUCAACAUUCGAGCUGAAUCAUGCUUAUACCAUCAUAGCAUUCUUUAAUGGUAGGUCAGUUCGUUACGAGUCAUUUAUUUGUAAGAUGGAAUACAUGUUUACAUAUGGCUUGAAUCAGCUUCAACGUUAGUCGCCAAUUUCUCACUGAAAUAGAUUAAGCGACCAAAGGUAGCAGAAAAAAGUUCAUUAGUCGAUAUCUCGCCUCUCAUAUAGCAGCGCCUUAGAUAAACAUUUAAUAAUUGAGCUGGAGAUUUGGAAGUGAUAUGUUGGGCAUGAAUGUCAGUUUUGCUUUGGUUCGUAAAGACAUCAUGUGUGUGUAUAAAAACUAAUGUGUAUUUCCUACUGUGCCUUAUAAGUAUCAAGUACAUAAGUGUUGCAGGACCCUUUGGGAAUGUCAAAACACUAUUAGCAAGCGACAGGAGCAUAGAAGUCUUUGUGGCAAUUGAAGACAAUGAAGUCUUCAAGCGGCAGGAGCAUAGAAGUCUCUCUAGCAAUUGAAGACAAUGAAGUCUUCAUUCUCCGUCGUAUCCCUAGAAGCAUAGAGCAAGCUCGAGAGUUGGUAGAAACAUUAAUGGAGCACAAUAGAGCACCAGAACCCCGUGGAAGUCAUAUAAUUACACAAGUUUGAAAUCAAUUGAUAAUCAGUGAAUGAUAUAUGUUGCAGUUUUAGGAGCGGAACGACAGGCGCAUCAUGCGUGUGAAAGAGAAGCAGAUCUUGAAAGGAAAACAAUGUCGAUGUGAAGUUGUUUUUUUCUUUCCUAUUUUUUUCAUUUAUCGCAUGUUCCUGCAGAACGGCGUGGCAAGUGCAUCGCACAUGCGUCUUUUCUAGUUCACAAUAAUGUUUUCAGUAUCAUUCAGAAAAGAAUAUGAAAUGAUGUUGAAAAUAA